RNAcentral lists this ribosomal RNA (254 nucleotides) under uncultured bacterium. Its description in RNAcentral is "partial 16S ribosomal RNA". It matches the Rfam family "Bacterial small subunit ribosomal RNA", at positions 524 to 776 of the family's 1533-position model. The record is from RNAcentral.
UACGUAGGGUGCGAGCGUUGUCCGGAAUUAUUGGGCGUAAAGAGCUCGUAGGCGGUGUGUCACGUCGUUCGUGAAAACCUGCAGCUUAACUGUGGGCGUGCGGUCGAUACGGGCAUCACUGGAGUUCGGCAGGGGAGACUGGAAUUCCUGGUGUAGCGGUGAAAUGCGCAGAUAUCAGGAGGAACACCGGUGGCGAAGGCGGGUCUCUGGGCAGUAACUGACGCUGAGGAGCGAAAGCGUGGGGAGCGAACAGG